UGAGGAAUAUUGGACAAUGGGCGCAAGCCUGAUCCAGCCACGCCGCGUGAGUGAUGAAGGCCUUCGGGUCGUAAAGCUCUGUGGAAAGGGACGAAAGUGCACGGUUCGAACAGGGCCGUGUUUUGACAGUACCUUUAUAGCAAGCACCGGCUAACUCUGUGCCAGCAGCCGCGGUAAUACAGAGGGUGCGAACGUUGCUCGGAUUUACUGGGCGUAAAGCGCUUGUAGGCGGGCGAAUGUGUCGGGUGUGAAAUCCCUGAGCUUAACUCAGGAACUGCAUUCGAAACUAUUCGUCUAGAGGAAUUGAGAGGAGAACGGAAUUCCCGGUGUAGAGGUGAAAUUCGUAGAUAUCGGGAGGAACACCAGAUGCGAAGGCGGUUCUCUGGAAAUUAUCUGACGCUGAGAAGCGAAAGCGUGGGGAGCAAACAGGAUUAGAUACCCCCGUAGUCC
This 450-nucleotide ribosomal RNA is filed under the name uncultured bacterium. RNAcentral's name for it is "bacterial SSU rRNA". It matches the Rfam family "Bacterial small subunit ribosomal RNA", at positions 355 to 796 of the family's 1533-position model. The record is from RNAcentral.